UACGUAGGGGGCUAGCGUUGUCCGGAAUAAUUGGGAGUAAAGAGUGUGUAGGCGGCAGGGUAAGUAGGUUGUGAAAGUCGGGGGCUCAACCCUCGAAUGCCGGUGGAUACUGUCGGGCUAGAGUGCGGAAGAGGCGAGUGGAAUUCCUGGUGUAGCGGUGAAAUGCGCAGAUAUCAGGAGGAACACCGAUUGCGAAGGCAGCUCGCUGGGACGUAACUGACGCUGAGACGCGAAAGCGUGGGGAGCAAACAGG
RNAcentral lists this ribosomal RNA (253 nucleotides) under uncultured bacterium. RNAcentral describes it as "partial 16S ribosomal RNA". It matches the Rfam family "Bacterial small subunit ribosomal RNA", at positions 524 to 776 of the family's 1533-position model. The record is from RNAcentral.